Molecule: non-coding RNA, 26 nt
Filed under: Homo sapiens (human)
Lineage: Eukaryota; Metazoa; Chordata; Mammalia; Primates; Hominidae
Source: RNAcentral
UGCUACGUUGUUACUGUGUGGAGCAC